GAUGAAGAACGUAGCGAACUGCGAUAAGUAAUGUGAAUUGCAGAAUUCAGUGAAUCAUCGAGUCUUUGAACGCACAUUGCGCCCCCUGGCAUUCCGGGGGGCAUGCCUGUCCGAGCGUCAUUGCUGCCCUUCAAGCCCGGCUUGUGUGUUGGGUCGUCGUCCCCCCCGGGGGACGGGCCCGAAAGGCAGCGGCGGCACCGCGUCCGGUCCUCGAGCGUAUGGGGCUUUGUCACCCGCUCGAUUAGGGCCGGCCGGGCGCCAGCCGGCGUCUCCAACCUUCUAUUUUACCAGGUUGACCUCGGAUCAGGUAGGGAUACCCGCUGAACUUAAGCAUAUAAUAAGCGGAGGA
Molecule: unclassified non-coding RNA, 349 nt
Filed under: soil metagenome
Description: partial contains 5.8S ribosomal RNA, internal transcribed spacer 2, and large subunit ribosomal RNA
Rfam family: 5.8S ribosomal RNA (bases 1-120)
Source: RNAcentral